GGGCGAUUAGCUCAGUUGGGAGAGCACCUGCCUUACAAGCAGGGGGUCACUGGUUCGAACCCGGUAUCGCCAC
Molecule: transfer RNA, 73 nt
Filed under: Vibrio cholerae
Lineage: Bacteria; Pseudomonadati; Pseudomonadota; Gammaproteobacteria; Vibrionales; Vibrionaceae
Description: tRNA-Val
Rfam family: tRNA
About the family: Transfer RNA (tRNA) molecules are approximately 80 nucleotides in length. Their secondary structure includes four short double-helical elements and three loops (D, anti-codon, and T loops).
Source: RNAcentral